AAUGAACGCUGGCGGCGCGCCUAAUACAUGCAAGUCGAGCGAGAAGACGUAGCAAUACGUUUGUAAAGCGGCGAACGGGUGAGGAAUACAUGGGUAACCUACCCUAGAGUGGGGAAUAACUAGCCGAAAGGUUAGCUAAUACCGCGUACGCUCCUUGGACUUCGGUUCAGGGAGGAAAGCGAUGCCGAGGGUAUCGCGCUCUUGGAUGGGCUCAUGUCCUAUCAGCUUGNGGUGAGGUAACGGCUCACCAAGGCUUCGACGGGUAGCUGGUCUGAGAGGACGAUCAGCCACACUGGCACUGCGACACGGGCCAGACUCCUACGGAGGCAGCAGUAAGGAAUAUUGCGCAAUGGGCGAAAGCCUGACGCAGCGACGCCGCGUGGGGGAUG
Molecule: ribosomal RNA, 389 nt
Filed under: uncultured bacterium
Lineage: Bacteria
Description: bacterial SSU rRNA
Rfam family: Bacterial small subunit ribosomal RNA
Source: RNAcentral